CCUACGGGGGGCAGCAGUGAGGAAUAUUGGUCAAUGGACGAAAGUCUGAACCAGCCAUGCCGCGUGAAGGAAGACGGCCCUAUGAGUUGUAAACUGCUUUUGUAAGAGGGUAAACGCAGACACGUGUACCUGUCUGAAAGUACUUUACGAAUAAGGAUCGGCUAACUCCGUGCCAGCAGCCGCGGUAAUACGGAGGAUUCAAGCGUUAUCCGGAUUUAUUGGGUUUAAAGGGUGCGUAGGUGGGCGGUUAAGUUAGUGGUGAAAUCUCGAGGCUCAACUUCGGAAUUGCCUCUGAUACUGUUCGGCUAGAGUGUAGUUGCGGUAGGCGGAAUGUAUGGUGUAGCGGUGAAAUGCUUAGAGAUCAUGCAGAACACCGAUUGCGAAGGCAGCUUACCAAGCUACUUCUGACGUUGAGGCACGAAAGUGUGGGGAGCAAACAGGAUUAGAUACCCGGGUAGUC
This 460-nucleotide ribosomal RNA is filed under the name uncultured bacterium. RNAcentral describes it as "partial 16S ribosomal RNA". It matches the Rfam family "Bacterial small subunit ribosomal RNA", at positions 338 to 795 of the family's 1533-position model. The record is from RNAcentral.